Molecule: small nuclear RNA, 323 nt
Filed under: Nannospalax galili (Upper Galilee mountains blind mole rat)
Lineage: Eukaryota; Metazoa; Chordata; Mammalia; Rodentia; Spalacidae
Description: 7SK RNA (ENSNGAG00000002737.1)
Rfam family: 7SK RNA
About the family: 7SK was discovered as an abundant small nuclear RNA in the mid-70s but a possible function has only recently been suggested. Two independent studies have found that 7SK RNA binds the CDK9/cyclin T complex (known as elongation factor P-TEFb). P-TEFb activates transcription by phosphorylating the C-terminal domain of RNA polymerase II.
Source: Rfam by way of RNAcentral
GGAUGUGAGGGCAAUCUGGCUAUGACUUCUAUCACCCCAGUGAUCACCAGGACUGAUUUGGCUGAUCUGGCUGGCCAGGCGGUUACCCCCUUCCUUCCUCAACACUCCAUGUAUGUCCCUCAUGAAGCUGCUUGUUCUGUCGAAGAGGACCACCUUCCCCAGUAGAGGAGGACCAAUCUUUGAUCAAGGGUAUAGGAGCAGCUGGGUCCCGUGCUAGAACCUCCAAACAAGCUCUCAAGAAGAUAGCUAAGCACCCUAGGAACCUGUUGGGUCAAAAUCUCUAUUUAAAAAAAUAUAGUGAUGCUAGAAACUUAUUACCAUAU